UGAAGGUUAUGGGAAGAGUCUCUUGC
Molecule: non-coding RNA, 26 nt
Filed under: Rattus norvegicus (Norway rat)
Lineage: Eukaryota; Metazoa; Chordata; Mammalia; Rodentia; Muridae
Source: RNAcentral